Molecule: long non-coding RNA, 1410 nt
Filed under: Podarcis lilfordi (Lilford's wall lizard)
Lineage: Eukaryota; Metazoa; Chordata; Lepidosauria; Squamata; Lacertidae
Source: RNAcentral
CGAGGAGGAGGGGGCUGUGGGCAGAGAGGACAGAGGAGGAGGAUCUAGGGGAAGGGGCCAAUAAUUUGUUGGUUCUGUGCCACCCAUGCAGCAGCUGCUGGUUGUGGAAGAAGAAGGGGGUCAGGAGCAGGAGACAGGGCAGGCAGAGACAGAGAGAAGGAGGAAAGAGAAGAGCUGCAGAAGGUCCUGGGACCAGGAGAGCCUGCAGAGCUCUGGGAGAGGGUUGUGUCUGAGGAAUUCUCUGAGUCCCCCCCCCCAUUGUCUCUCUGUUCAAGAAGAGGCUUGAAGUGAAGGGAACAGCUUGAUCUGCUGUUGAGGUGGAGCCUCUGAGGGCUUGAGCGCACCACGUCAGCCAAUGGGGGUUGAGAAGGAAUGGGGGUGGAGCUAGGCUGUUGCUCCAACUGUCUGAGCUAGGGCCCAGGUCUGCAGUCAUGGGUUGUCUAGGCAACUAGUUAGUGGGGAAUAAUGCUGUGUAUAUUACUUGAACUUUAGGAGCUGAUGAAACUGAGUGCUUUGUCAAGAAAGAAUUAAUUCCCCAUAGCUUCAGACACCUCUCAAGACAUCAUCGCCAAACUCAACAUGAGGUUUCCUGAGGGCGACAGUAAUUCUCAACCUUCAGAUGCCAGCUGCCAUUUUGAAUCAAGAUGGUGGCCCAAAUAUGACUUUGGCAUGACUCUGCCCCCUUUUUGGCACGAAUCAUCACCAAACUUAGCACAAGGAUUCCCAAGGUGAGGGUGACAGAUGUCAUCAAUGUUUAGAUUCUGGGCACCAUUGUGAAUCAAGGUGGCAGACCAAACUGUGACUUUGGCAGGCCUUUGCCUGAUUUUUUGCACGACAGGUCCAAACUCACAAAAAAUUGCACUAUUUUAAAAUCACAAUAUAUUUUGUGCUGAAAAGGGUUUGGAGCUGCUGUAACUUUAUGCUGCCUUAAUUUAUACUGUCUUCCUUUAUGCCAGUGUAUUGUGCAUUGGGAUUUUCCCUAAGUGAACACCAUAUCUAGAACAAAUCCAUAUUUAGGCAUGCCUCAAUAACGUGUAACUAGUUGAGCAAGAAUGUGGAUGUGACAAUAUGCACAUCAGGAUGGAUAGCUUAUUCAAAGCAAUGCAGCAUGCACAGAAUGCAUCCUAAUCGUGAACACAGAUUCAAUUUCAAUUUGUUCUUGGAUAAACUUGUUUAUGCUGGUGGAUCUCCAAAGCUGGACAUUCUUUCAAAAAAAGAAAAAGAUUUUUGACUGUCUCUAUUUUGUAUUCAUUUAGGAGUUCAUUUUUCUCCAGUCCGAUACUGAAAUAGCUGAAUGGUAGAAUGUUUGAUGCUGGAAAUUCAUUUUUGGUUAUUUAAUUAUGGAUGCAAAGGCAUUGUUAGGGGAAGAAUAUUUUAUGUCAAGCUUUUAUAUGAUGACUAAAGGGCGGA